CCCUAGCCCAGAUAGAAGCGGCAUCCUUUUUUAUGGCUUUUUCUGCCAUAAAAAAGAUAUAGCGAAUAGCUGGAAAUAGC
This is a non-coding RNA of Flavobacterium sp. ov086, 80 nucleotides long. Lineage: Bacteria; Pseudomonadati; Bacteroidota; Flavobacteriia; Flavobacteriales; Flavobacteriaceae. The record is from Rfam.